Molecule: unclassified non-coding RNA, 335 nt
Filed under: soil metagenome
Description: partial contains 5.8S ribosomal RNA, internal transcribed spacer 2, and large subunit ribosomal RNA
Rfam family: 5.8S ribosomal RNA (bases 1-120)
Source: RNAcentral
GAUGAAGAACGUAGCGAAAUGCGAUAAGUAAUGUGAAUUGCAGAAUUCAGUGAAUCAUCGAAUCUUUGAACGCACAUUGCGCCCGCCAGUAUUUUGGCGGGCAUGCCUGUUCGAGCGUCAUUUCAACCAUCAAGCCCCCGGCUUGUGUUGGGGACCUGCGGCUGCCGCAGGCCCUGAAAACCAGUGGCGGGCUCGCUAGUCACUCCGAGCGUAGUAAUACAUCUCGCUCAGGGCGUGCUGCGGGUUCCGGCCGUUAAAAAGCCUUAUUUACCCAAGGUUGACCUCGGAUCAGGUAGGAAGACCCGCUGAACUUAAGCAUAUCAAUAAGCGGAGGA